Molecule: ribosomal RNA, 426 nt
Filed under: uncultured bacterium
Lineage: Bacteria
Description: partial 16S ribosomal RNA
Rfam family: Bacterial small subunit ribosomal RNA
Source: RNAcentral
CCUACGGGAGGCAGCAGUGAGGAAUAUUGGUCAAUGGACGAGAGUCUGAACCAGCCAAGGAGCGUUUCGGCGCGUAAAGCCCUAUCGGCAGGGAAGAAGAUGACGGUACCUGACCAAGAAGCCCCGGCUAACUACGUGCCAGCAGCCGCGGUAAUACGUAGGGGGCAAGCGUUAUCCGGAUUUACUGGGUGUAAAGGGGGCGCAGACGGUGUUGUAAGUCAUUAGUCAAAGACUAGAGCUCAACUUUAGUAAGGCUAGUGAUACUAUAAUACUAGAGUAUCAGAGAGGAUUGCAGAAUUCCUGGUGUAGCGGUGAAAUGCGUAGAUAUCAGGAGGAAUACCGUUAGCGAAGGCGGCAAUCUGGCUGGAAACUGACGUUGAGGCUCGAAAGCGUGGGGAGCAAACAGGAUUAGAUACCCCAGUAGUC